AACGCUGGCGGCAGGCCUAACACAUGCAAGUCGAACGGUAACAGGAUUAGCUUGCUAAUCGCUGACGAGUGGCGGACGGGUGAGUAAUGCUUGGGAACUUGCCUUUGCGAGGGGGAUAACAGUUGGAAACGACUGCUAAUACCGCAUAAUGUCUUCGGACCAAACGGGGCUGCGGCUCCGGCGCAAAGAGAGGCCCAAGUGAGAUUAGCUAGUUGGUGAGGUAAGAGCUCACCAAGGCGACGAUCUCUAGCUGUUCUGGGAGGAAGACCAGCCACACUGGGACUGAGACACGGCCAAGACUCCUACGGGAGGCAGCAGUGGGGAAUAUUGCACAAUGGGGGAAACCCUGAUGCAGCCAUGCCGCGUGUGUGAAGAAGGCCUUCGGGUUGUAAAGCACUUUCAGUUGUGAGGAAAAGUUAGUAGUUAAUACCUGCUAGCCGUGACGUUAACAACAGAAGAAGCACCGGCUAACUCCGUGCCAGCAGCCGCGGUAAUAC
RNAcentral lists this ribosomal RNA (497 nucleotides) under uncultured marine bacterium. RNAcentral describes it as "bacterial SSU rRNA". It matches the Rfam family "Bacterial small subunit ribosomal RNA", at positions 32 to 526 of the family's 1533-position model. The record is from RNAcentral.